CGCGUCCUUUUAACUAAUAAGUCGCGUCUUCCGUGGAUCCACCAAAAGCUGUUCAUUUGCUAUUGACAAAUACAUCGCUUCUUUGUCGCCUCACCCAUUUAUGUAAGUCUUCCGAUCCGACGGAUGAUAAGAGAGCGAUUGGGAAAAUAAACGGCGAAAACCUUCAGUUGAUUAUGCAGCGACCAAACGUUGGAGUAAAACGUCACGCCAGCUGCCAGUCGUCAGCGCAAGAACGACUGUUAUUAUCGUGUUACUCGUGAUAACCUUUCUGGUCGUCAUCACUACAACCAGUACAGAUGCUUCCAACUACUUUGACAUCCAAGGACCUAAUUUCUCGCAUGAACCGCCAUCGUGCAUUGAAUUCACCAACAAUGCUGGCAGCAUUGCCGAUUGCAUAGCGCAUGAUAAUCCACCGGUGAAUGUCGAAUGGCUAGACAAGGACAAUAAUCCCAUCACCUUGAUAUCAAAGGUCCGUCAUAUGCUCGCCAACGGUUCACUCUAUUUCUCUCCCUUCGAAGCGGAAGAGUUUCGUCAAGAUGUUCAUUAGUCCGUCUAUCAUUGUGUGGCCAGCAAUGCUGUGGGUACAAUUGUUUCUUGUGACGUUGUGAUCAAAGC
Bactrocera tryoni is the source of this 615-nucleotide long non-coding RNA. RefSeq lists it as uncharacterized. The record is from RefSeq and is a predicted model, not a curated record. Lineage: Eukaryota; Metazoa; Arthropoda; Insecta; Diptera; Tephritidae. The transcript is spliced from 3 exons.